GUGGAUUAGAUACCCUUGUAGUCCACGCCGUAAACGAUGGGCACUAGGCGUCGGGGGGAGCGACCCUCCCGGUGCCGUCGCUAACGCUGUAAGUGCCCCGCCUGGGGAGUACGGCCGCAAGGCUGAAACUCAAAGGAAUUGACGGGGGCCCGCACAAGCGGUGGAGCAUGUGGUUUAAUUCGAAGCAACGCGAAGAACCUUACCUGGGCUUGACAUGCAUGAGUAAGCCGGUGGAAACACCGGGCCUCCUUCGGGACUCUUGCACAGGUGCUGCACGGCCGUCGCCAGCU
This 290-nucleotide ribosomal RNA is filed under the name uncultured bacterium. Its description in RNAcentral is "partial 16S ribosomal RNA". It matches the Rfam family "Bacterial small subunit ribosomal RNA", at positions 773 to 1060 of the family's 1533-position model. The record is from RNAcentral.